GAGUGGCGGACGGGUGAGUAACGCGUGAGAAUCUUGCCUUGGGGUCGGGGACAACCACUGGAAACGGUGGCUAAUACCGGAUAAGCCUUUGGGUAACACAUUUAUUGCCCCAAGAGGAGCUCGCGUCUGAUUAGCUCGUUGGUGAGGUAAAAGCUCACCGAUAUGGCAGCGAUCAGUAGCUGGUCUGAGAGGACGAUCAGCCACAUCUUGGGACUGAGACAUCGGCGCCCACUCCUACGGGAGGCAGUCCGUGGGGAAUUUCCCGCAAUGGGCGAGAGCCUGACUGAGCAAGCACCGCGUGAGGCGAGGAAGGCUCUUGGGUUGUAAACCUCUCUCCUCAUGGAAGAAGCUCUGACGGUACCUGAGGAAUCAGCCUCGGCUACCUCCGUGCCAUCAGCCGCGGUAAUACGGAGGACGCAAGCGUCAUCCGGAAUUCUCUGGGCGUAAAGCGUCCGCAGGUGGCGAUUCAAAGUCUGCUGUCAAAGCACGGGGCUUAACUCCGUUAACGGCAGUGGAAACUGACUAGCUAGAGUGCCGCAUGGGUACAGGGAAUUCCCGGUGUACCGGUGAAAUGCGUACAGAUCGGGAAGAACAUCGGUGGCUAAAGCGCUCUACUGGACGG
Molecule: ribosomal RNA, 622 nt
Filed under: uncultured organism
Description: bacterial SSU rRNA
Rfam family: Bacterial small subunit ribosomal RNA
Source: RNAcentral